CCCCAUCUUUCCUUCCUUUUCUUUAAACAAAGCGUAGUAUAUAUACCUUCAGUGUACAUCCUAUAGUGGUGUUGCAUUCCUGGCACACGGAGUCAUACGAAAUAAAUAACAUAAAAUCUUUAGAGGCGUUUAUACGGUUAUUGGAUACUGCAAUCUUUAGUCCAGCGGCUGUUACUCCUUCGCUACCAUAGUCACCGAAAUUAACAGGUGAUUCUGGGAGUGAACAUUUCACUUCAGCGAGAUCUUUCAUCAAUCCAGGGUACAACGAGAUAGUGUUACUAGGCUUCCACACCGAUUCAAUAACCUUG
Non-coding RNA from Paramuricea clavata, 308 nucleotides. The record is from the annotation of a GenBank genome assembly. NCBI's taxonomy places the organism in Eukaryota, Metazoa, Cnidaria, Anthozoa, Malacalcyonacea, Plexauridae.